AGAGUUUGAUCAUGGCUCAGGAUGAACGCUGGCGGCGUGCCUAACACAUGCAAGUCGAACGGAGUUAUUUUGGAAAGUUCUUCGGAACUGGAAUCUAUAACUUAGUGGCGGACGGGUGAGUAACGCGUGAGCAAUCUGCCCUUGGGUGGGGGAUAACAGCCGGAAACGGCUGCUAAUACCGCAUAACGCAACGGGAUGGCAUCUUCCUGUUGCCAAAGAUUUAUUGCCCUUGGAUGAGCUCGCGUCUGAUUAGCUAGUUGGCGGGGUAACGGCCCACCAAGGCGACGAUCAGUAGCCGGACUGAGAGGUUGAACGGCCACAUUGGGACUGAGACACGGCCCAG
RNAcentral lists this ribosomal RNA (343 nucleotides) under uncultured bacterium. RNAcentral's name for it is "bacterial SSU rRNA". It matches the Rfam family "Bacterial small subunit ribosomal RNA", at positions 8 to 334 of the family's 1533-position model. The record is from RNAcentral.